Molecule: ribosomal RNA, 492 nt
Filed under: uncultured bacterium
Lineage: Bacteria
Description: partial 16S ribosomal RNA
Rfam family: Bacterial small subunit ribosomal RNA
Source: RNAcentral
GAUGAACGCUGGCUACAGGCUUAACACAUGCAAGUCGAGGGGAAACGACGGGGAAGCUUGCUUCCCCGGGCGUCGACCGGCGCACGGGUGAGUAACGCGUAUCCAACCUGCCUCUGACUGAGGGAUAACCCGUCGAAAGUCGGCCUAAUACCUCAUGGCAUCGUCUGCGGGCAUCCAACGACGAUUAAAGAUUUCAUCGGUCAGGGAUGGGGAUGCGUCUGAUUAGCUUGUUGGCGGGGUAACGGCCCACCAAGGCUACGAUCAGUAGGGGUUCUGAGAGGAAGGUCCCCCACAUUGGAACUGAGACACGGUCCAAACUCCUACGGGAGGCAGCAGUGAGGAAUAUUGGUCAAUGGGCGGGAGCCUGAACCAGCCAAGUAGCGUGCAGGAUGACGGCCCUAUGGGGUGUAAACUGCUUUUAUGCGGGGAUAAAGUGAGGGACGUGUCCUUCAUUGCAGGUACCGCAUGAAUAAGGACCGGCUAAUUCCGUGC